ACGGAUUCGAGUAAGUGUAAGAAAAAGUCCUGGAGCACUUGGCUGCUUGGCUGGGUGUCAGGCUUUGUAAGCGCAGUCAGCUGUCCCGGGGGCGGAGAAGUCCAAGAAAGAGGGCAAGGAGGCUGUUAGCAGCAGGGGAAGGGAAUUUCCUCAGUUUGAACCUUUCUUUCUCUUGGACAGUGAAUCAAAAUUUCCACUUUAGAAUCCAACAGAGAGAGGAAGAAUUUGUUUGGUUUGGUUUUGAAUUCUUUCCUUUUUGUUCUAAUGUCAGAUGAGAUGGGAAGCAGCUUUGAUGUAGAGGAUGGUGUGGCCCUUGGAGUCAGGAAGACCUGGUUCAAACCCCACCUUCUGAUACCUCCGCCCGCAGGAUGGGACCCUGAUCCCAAAUCCCCAUUCUCUCUCUCUGUCUGUCUCUCUCUCUCUCUUUCUCUCUCUCUCUCUGUCUCUCUCUCUCUCUGUCUCUCUGUCUCUCUGUCUCUCUCUGUCUCUCUGUCUCUGUCUCUGUCUCUCUGUCUCUCUCUCUCUCUCUCUCUCUCUCUCUGUCUGUCUCUGUCUCUCUCUCUCUCUCCCUCCCUCCCUCCCUCUCUCUCUCUCUCCCCCUCCCUCCCCUCCGCCCCUCCCCCCCUCUCCCCCCCCCUCCCAGCACCCGGGCAAUCUUCUGCUAUUAUCAACUGCCAGCCUCCAGCGAGUGAGGAAAUGCCCUCCACCAAAGAAACCUCACGUUCAGUCCAAGAGAAUCCGUUAAGACCGAAAAAGAAGGCAAUAAAAUUGGGGACGCAGAGACUUGGUAUGAUUCUUCUCCCGCAGUCAGUCACCUUCCCACCUGCCAGACUCGGUGGGGCUGCUUUUCAGUCCGCUGGGCUUCUGGUCUUUGGUUCAUGUGACCUGAAGAAGUGCUCGUCCCUCUGGAUGUGCAGUUAUUCUUUGUGCACAGUGUCAAAUAUUUGUCACAUCCCAGCCAAGCAUUUGCAGUUUUAUGUCCUUUGACAUGUAAAAAUGGAUGCUGCUGCCCUUUGACAAAAGGUUGUCUUGAAAUCUCUUUUUUUAAAGGAAACCUUUUCUUGUAUACUCGAAAAUAUAUGCAAAUCCACACUGCACUCUGUUGAGCUUGCUUUUUCCUACAGAAACCACGUCGAAGACAAUGUUUGGAGGCGAUAGAGCUUGGAAAGAUAGAAUCUUAUUUCUCUUUAACUUGGUUUCUGUUUGGGGUAAAUUAUAAACCCAGCGACCACAUUUUCAAGUGCACAAACAAGAACAAACAUUAGCUUAGAUUGCAAUAUGCAAUUCCAUUGAGUUUGUUUUUCAUUCUAUAUUAAUGUUUUGUAAGAUAGUAACAGAAUCACCCCUCUUAUUUCCACAUCUUUUCACAAACAUUUUCCUCCAAGUUUUGUUCCAGUCAUUAUCAUUUAGAGAAUAAUAGCGUGACUAGAACUGAAAAUUCUUCUUCAUCGUCUUCAUUGGGCAUCAUUUCGUGUUUUGCCAUAUUUCUUUGCAUGCUUCCUAUUUGUGCUUUAUUGGUGCAUAGUACAUUGCAUUUGUUUGGUACAAUUUGUACAGCCAUUCCCUAAUAAGAGAUAUUAUUUUCAAGGUUCUUGGAAAUAAAGUUGCAAUUGUUCAGCUGGGGGCUGGGGUG
Molecule: long non-coding RNA, 1633 nt
Organism: Monodelphis domestica (gray short-tailed opossum)
Lineage: Eukaryota; Metazoa; Chordata; Mammalia; Didelphimorphia; Didelphidae
Source: Ensembl